This 466-nucleotide ribosomal RNA is filed under the name uncultured bacterium. RNAcentral describes it as "partial 16S ribosomal RNA". It matches the Rfam family "Bacterial small subunit ribosomal RNA", at positions 28 to 507 of the family's 1533-position model. The record is from RNAcentral.
GAUGAACGCUGGCGGCGUGCUUAACACAUGCAAGUCGAACGAUGAAGCCCAGCUUGCUGGGUGGAUUAGUGGCGAACGGGUGAGUAACACGUGAGUAACCUGCCCUUAACUCUGGGAUAAGCCUGGGAAACUGGGUCUAAUACCGGAUAGGAGCGUCCACCGCAUGGUGGGUGUUGGAAAGAUUUAUCGGUUUUGGAUGGACUCGCGGCCUAUCAGCUUGUUGGUGAGGUAAUGGCUCACCAAGGCGACGACGGGUAGCCGGCCUGAGAGGGUGACCGGCCACACUGGGACUGAGACACGGCCCAGACUCCUACGGGAGGCAGCAGUGGGGAAUAUUGCACAAUGGGCGCAAGCCUGAUGCAGCGACGCCGCGUGAGGGAUGACGGCCUUCGGGUUGUAAACCUCUUUCAGUAGGGAAGAAGCGAAAGUGACGGUACCUGCAGAAAAAGCACCGGCUAACUACGUG